GAUGAAGAACGUAGCGAAAUGCGAUAAGUAAUGUGAAUUGCAGAAUUCAGUGAAUCAUCGAAUCUUUGAACGCACAUUGCGCCCGCCAGUAUUCUGGCGGGCAUGCCUGUCCGAGCGUCAUUUCAACCCUCAGGCCCCCAGUGCCUGGCGUUGGGGAUCGGCGCGGCGCCCUCCGGGGCGCUGCCGGCCCCGAAAUUCAGUGGCGGUCUCGCUGUAGCCCUCCUCCGCGUAGUAGCACAACCUCGCGGCCUGGAGCUCGGCGGUGGCCAUGCCGUAAAACACCCCACUUCUGAAAGUUGACCUCGGAUCAGGUAGGAAUACCCGCUGAACUUAAGCAUAUCAAUAAGCGGAGGA
This 354-nucleotide unclassified non-coding RNA is filed under the name soil metagenome. Its description in RNAcentral is "partial contains 5.8S ribosomal RNA, internal transcribed spacer 2, and large subunit ribosomal RNA". The stretch from base 1 to 120 matches the Rfam family "5.8S ribosomal RNA", at positions 35 to 154 of the family's 154-position model. The record is from RNAcentral.